GUGCAAAUUGUAAUUUAAAUGGUAACGUUUACGUUUGUUUAUGUUUUCUUGUCUGUGUUCAUAGUCUACGUGCAUAUUUAUGUACAUUGUAGAUACGAUACAACGUAAAUGUGGGAAUGUGUGUAUAUAUCUAUAGGAGUAAAAGCAGGUGCGUACAUAACAACAUAACAUAACGAUGAAAAGAGCCCGUGGAGAGAAAUGCAUAAGAUUGUGAGCCACAUGACGAUCAUAGACUGGCAACGGAGCGCGUACAUACCACAUAUGUAUGUACAUACAAACGAGAUAUAAUCGCAUAAAGUAAAACAAAGUGCUCGGUUUGUACGCUGGGAAUAACAUUAUCAAUGAGGAUACUUAAAAACGCUUGAAUUAUUACGAAGCUGACGGAGGAGAUUGACCAUUAAUACAUACGUACACUGUAUGUACAAUCAGUCUGGAGGGAACGGCAAGUUUGAAAUUGUGGUCUGUAGGCUAUUCACAAGCUGCGGACUGUGAGAAGCGAGUACAGAGUGCAGAGUACAGAUACAGGUCACCUAGUCCACCAAA
Molecule: non-coding RNA, 543 nt
Organism: Megalopta genalis
Lineage: Eukaryota; Metazoa; Arthropoda; Insecta; Hymenoptera; Halictidae
Source: RefSeq, a predicted model, not a curated record